Molecule: long non-coding RNA, 468 nt
Organism: Neopsephotus bourkii (Bourke's parrot)
Lineage: Eukaryota; Metazoa; Chordata; Aves; Psittaciformes; Psittacidae
Exons: 4
Source: RefSeq, a predicted model, not a curated record
UAUGGCAUCUAUACAGGUUUCACUGAGGAGCGUUACAAAAGGCAAACACAAACACUUGUAGCAGAGUUAGAUGCAUGUAUCACAAGCAGCUGGCCAAAAGGCUGCAGCAGUUCACCUCAAUUCAACUCAAAAGGCAGCAGCAAAAGCAAGACUACAGUGCAGACAUACCACGUGUCUCUCAGACCCCAAGUGCAACUUUAUUUAGACAGACAAAAAAAUAUAAAUAGGAGCUGCUUCAUUGAUGAGUGGCUGUUCAUCCCCAUUCACUGACAGGAUCCUCUUUUCUGGCGGCUGCUCCUCUGGCUGGCGGGCAAUCAGCAGGCGACAGAUGAAAGCAAACUGACCUGUGAUAUCCUCUGCUUCCUGGUUUAUGCUGGGUUUAGAAGCAGUGUAAGUUGGAACACUAAGCCUCCUUACACAGCUGCCUUAUUGUUUCAGGGAAGAAACCACCUCUGUCCUUACACACAU